RNAcentral lists this microRNA precursor (79 nucleotides) under Ictidomys tridecemlineatus (thirteen-lined ground squirrel). Its description in RNAcentral is "miRNA (ENSSTOG00000032905.1)". The record is from RNAcentral. Lineage: Eukaryota; Metazoa; Chordata; Mammalia; Rodentia; Sciuridae.
UAAGAGGGCUGGGAGAGUGGAUCAGAGCCAGAGCACUGCCUGGAAGGAGGGGGCCCAGGGUCUGACCCGCAGCACUGUA